Molecule: ribosomal RNA, 279 nt
Filed under: uncultured bacterium
Lineage: Bacteria
Description: partial 16S ribosomal RNA
Rfam family: Bacterial small subunit ribosomal RNA
Source: RNAcentral
UGCCAGCAGCCGCGGUAACACGGAGGGUGCAAGCGUUAUCCGGAUUCACUGGGUUUAAAGGGUACGUAGGCGGUUUUGUAAGUCGAUGGUGAAAUUUAGCAGCUCAACUGCUACCGUGCCAUCGAUACUGCGAGACUUGAGUAUAGUCGAGGUGGGCGGAAUUCUACAUGUAGCGGUGAAAUGCAUAGAUAUGUAGAGGAACACCAAUAGCGAAGGCAGCUCACUAGACUAUUACUGACGCUGAGGUACGAAAGCGUGGGGAGCGAACAGGAUUAGAUA